AACGAACGCUGGCGGCAGGCCUAACACAUGCAAGUCGAGCGAGCAUUUCGGUGCUAGCGGCGGACGGGUGAGUAACGCGUGGGAACGUGCCCUUUUCUGCGGAAUAGUCCUGGGAAACUGGGGGUAAUACCGCAUACGCCCUUUUGGGGAAAGAUUUAUCGGAGAAGGAUCGGCCCGCGUUGGAUUAGGUAGUUGGUGGGGUAAUGGCCCACCAAGCCGACGAUCCAUAGCUGGUUUGAGAGGAUGAUCAGCCACACUGGGACUGAGACACGGCCCAGACUCCUACGGGAAGCAGCAGUGGGGAAUCUUAGACAAUGGGGGCAACCCUGAUCUAACCAUGCCGCGUGAGUGAUGAAGGCCUUAGGGUUGUAAAGCUCUUUCAGCUGGGAAGAUAAUGACGGUACCAGCAGAAGAAGCCCCGGCUAACUCCGUG
RNAcentral lists this ribosomal RNA (433 nucleotides) under uncultured bacterium. RNAcentral describes it as "partial 16S ribosomal RNA". It matches the Rfam family "Bacterial small subunit ribosomal RNA", at positions 29 to 507 of the family's 1533-position model. The record is from RNAcentral.